CCUACGGGAGGCUGCAGUGAGGAAUAUUGGUCAAUGGGCGCGAGCCUGAACCAGCCAAGUAGCGUGAAGGAUGACUGCCCUAUGGGUUGUAAACCUCUUUUAUAAAGGAAUAAAGUGAGGCACGUGUGCCUUUUUGCAUGUACUUUAUGAAUAAGGAUCGGCUAACUCCGUGCCAGCAGCCGCGGUAAUACGGAGGAUCCGAGCGUUAUCCGGAUUUAUUGGGUUUAAAGGGAGCGUAGAUGGGUUGUUAAGUCAGUUGUGAAAGUUUGCGGCUCAACCGUAAAAUUGCAAUUGAUACUGGCAGUCUUGAGUACAGUUGAGGUAGGCGGAAUUCGUGGUGUAGCGGUGAAAUGCAUAGAUAUCACGAAGAACUCCGAUUGCGAAGGCAGCUUACUAAACUGCCACUGACAUUGAUGCUCGAAAGUGUGGGUAUCGAACAGGAUUAGAUACCCCGGUAGUC
This 460-nucleotide ribosomal RNA is filed under the name uncultured bacterium. RNAcentral's name for it is "partial 16S ribosomal RNA". It matches the Rfam family "Bacterial small subunit ribosomal RNA", at positions 338 to 795 of the family's 1533-position model. The record is from RNAcentral.